CUCUCACUGAUGAUGGCAUGAUUGCUGUACAGUCUGAGCUGUGGGAACCAGUUGAUGAAAUAUAUUAAUAGACAGGCUAAGAGAA
Non-coding RNA from Dipodomys ordii (Ord's kangaroo rat), 85 nucleotides. The record is from Ensembl. NCBI's taxonomy places the organism in Eukaryota, Metazoa, Chordata, Mammalia, Rodentia, Heteromyidae.